AUGGCGCCUGCUGCUGCAGCAACGAAGCAAGAUGGGGAGCUGAGGAUCCUCUGCAUCGACGGUGGUGGCAUCCGCGGCCUCAUCCCGGCCAAGAUCCUGGAGUACCUCGAAGCCGAGCUCCAGAGGAUUGAGGGGUCGUCGACGGCGAGGCUCGCCGACUACUUCGACUACAUCGUCGGCACCAGCACAGGCGCCCUCGUCACCACCAUGCUGGCCGGCCCCGACAAGGACAACCGCCCGCUCUGCACGGCCAAGGAGAUCAUCGACCUCUACCUCGAAGAGGGUGCCAGAAUCUUCAGAAACGAGCACAAUGCGACAUGGGCUCAGGUGGUGCUGGAGGCCGUGCUCCUCUACAUCAAGUACUAUGAUGGCGACAACGAGACCCUGCGGUCCUUGCACGACAUGCUCGCACUCGGUUUGGCCAUCGAGCCCUUGCUCCGCCCCAUCCUCGACGCGCUGAUCCACGCCAACGGUGGCGGCAUGCAGCAGCUAGCCGCAGCACCCCAUGACCCUGACGAUGCAGGGAGCAACAGCAACGAGGCGCCGCCGGCGAAUAUGGAGGACUACAUCCAGGAACAUGCUGGAGCCAUCCUGCAGGCGAUGUGCCGUGCGCAGGGUCUGGUGCUGGACUCGACGCCGUUCCAGGAGGGCAUCAAGGAGUUCGCGGAGGGCCUGCGCAGGACGCUGCUGAACCCGGAUUUCGUCAGGUACGCGCUGCUCCGCCCCAAGUACGACGGCGAGGGGCUCCGCAAGGUGGUCAGAGGGAAACUCGGCGACCGCGAGCUUAAGGAAACCGUCACCAACGUCGUCGUGCCAACGUUCGACAUCAAGCGCAAUCAGCCUGUGGUCUUCUCCACCUCUAAGGCGCGACAGGAUCGGGUGAUGAACCCCUACCUCUCGGACAUUUGCAUCGCCGCAACUGCCGCACCAACAUUCUUCCCUGCCCACAAGUUCAACAUUAUAAACUUCUGUCCACUAAAUUUCGAAUUCGAGGAGUUUAACCUAAUUGACGCCGGCGUCUUCGCGAACAAUCCGACCACGGUGGCGAUGAACGAGGUUUGGAGGAUGAUCGACAGGGGCGAGCACCUGCCGGUGGAGGGGUUAUCGGCCAUGGACUGCAGCAAGCUGCGCAUCCUCUCCGUCGGCACCGGCGUGGUGAACCACUCCUACACGGCCGACGAGUGCAACUGGUGGGGUGUCCUCCCGUGGAUGUACAACGUCCGCAACAAAACCCAGCCGCUGGUCGACACGCUCAUGUACGCCACCGGCUCCCUCGUCGACUACAACGCCGCCCUGCUCUUCAAGUCCCAGGGCUACGAGGACCACUACUUGCGCAUCCAGGAGGAUCACCUGGACCCUUCUCUUGGAGCCAUGGACGACACCAGCAGCAUGGAGAAGCUCAUCGAGACCGGGGAGAACCUCCUGGACAGGCAGGUCUACCGGACGGACUGCGAGACGAGGGAGUACCGGCCGGUGAAGGGCGCCGGAACCAAUAAGGAGGCGCUCACCAAGCUCGCUGAGCAGCUGAUCGCAGAGAGGCGCCGAAGGGAGGCUACUGCGCCGCCGAUGUUGCUGAUGAGCAUCACCGAGAUUACCACCGUCGUCGAGCCAAGGCCCAAAAGGCUCAAGCCUACCUACGCCAUGCAGUAA
Molecule: ribosomal RNA, 1650 nt
Filed under: Triticum aestivum (bread wheat)
Lineage: Eukaryota; Viridiplantae; Streptophyta; Magnoliopsida; Poales; Poaceae
Description: partial small subunit ribosomal RNA
Source: RNAcentral